RNAcentral lists this long non-coding RNA (2506 nucleotides) under Capra hircus (goat). RNAcentral's name for it is "lncRNA (ENSCHIG00010012358.1)". Lineage: Eukaryota; Metazoa; Chordata; Mammalia; Artiodactyla; Bovidae. The record is from RNAcentral.
GAAUCUCAGCCUCUGACUUUUCAUGUCACCUCCUUGCACCUUCUUAACGAGGACUCGGGCUGCUGGGGCCAGUGGGACAAGUGACUAAGAGCCCAGCAGGGUGCCAGGUCCUGGGUCCUGGCUUGACCCUUGCCUAUGAGGGGCACCGGUUUCCCCAAGUACAGAGAGACCAGAGCAGCUGUUUCAGAGGCCUCCUACUCAUCGUUCCACGAGCAACCCUGCUUUUCCUGCAAUUCUUACUGCCCCUUCACAAGAGCUACUGCAAGGAGAAAAGGCACUCUUGGGCCAAAAGAUCGAAAAGCCCUGGACGUGGUCAUCCAUUGCUUGGUUCAAUCAUUCAUUUAGUGAACCUGUCUGUCCUGGUGUUCUCCUAUGGACCAGGCUGGGCUUCACAGUAGACACCACUGAUCAGACACAGCUCCUGCCCACAGGAAGCCCACAGUCUGGGAAGGGGAGGCAGACACGUGGACCGACAUCCUUGACAUAUGGGGCCAGGUGGUGUCAGGAUGGAGCCCAAGCCUGUCUCUGCCAGUCCCGGAAGUGGGUGAGGUGGAGCUGGAACAGUGUAUUAGAUGCCCCUGGAGGUGGGGAAGGAGAACAGGGCCAUGGAUUUUGAGGAAGGACUCUGCUUAACCCAGUCUGGGUGGUCUUUCUCUCCUCAAGUUAGUGAGGCCUUUGAUGCUAAGGCUUGAGGAGGGUGCAGGACUUCCUUUCGCUGGUCUGAGGGCGGCCACUGACAGAUGCUCUCCUUGGCCACAAUUUGGGCAGGCUCUCGCGAGAUCUUUUCUCAACCAGGGCUCCACAUGCGGGUUUCCGUUGCCCCGUUUUAGCAAGAAUCCUGCUACGUCAGUUCAUUGAGCACCCCCACCCACCCCUGGUAUCUGAUCAAAUCUCUCCUCCUCCACCCUUCCCCCCCCCCGNNNNNNNCCCUCCUUCUCCACGAAUCCUGUUUGGUCAGUUCAGCAGGAAUUUCCUACCCUCUCAGCAAUUUUCCAUCCCUCCCUCCAACUCCUGCUAUAAAUCCCCACUUUAGAAAACGCAGGAUUUCACAGCACUGCAGAGCAGAAACUAACACAAGAUUGUAAAGCAACUAUACUCCAGUGAGAAAUAGACAGGAAACUGAAGAUUCGAAAUCGUAUUUGGAAUUGAGCCCAAAUCUAUACUGUCUCCUGUUGCAAGAGUUUUUGAAUAAAAAUCUGUUUUGGCCGCAUUACAGUCCAUCUCUGGUUUGCUAGGAGCUGUGACUCACAUGGAGGAGUCAGAUUCACCACUGGACCCUGGGAUCUCUGCCAACUAAAAGCUGUCACUUGCCAUGUGCUUCCAUAAGAAGGAAGUCACUAGACACCACAGCCGCAGACUUUCAACACUCCCNNNNNNNNNNNNNNNNNNNAAAUGAGCCUCAGGAAGGAGGCUUUCUGUGCUCUGGGAAAAAGUGGCAGAACAGGUCUUCAGAUAGCUAGAUAUUUUCAGGAGAAGAUUUUACGAGCCCAAUUUCUAGCAUCUUCUCAUAUCUAGAAAAGCGCUAAAAUCACUUAUGGACACGCCUGCGCCUCAUAACUAAACAGCAACCUUCUUGACUAACAGGAACAUUUGUUAAAAUGUAUGCUUGAUGGUGCAUAACUCCCUUCACCAAAAUCACAUAUAUUCUGACGCCUUCCCUCUUUAACUCUUUGGAGCAUUUCCUCAGCACUAUUUCAGACGCUACAGUUCGCAUUUCACCCCCAAUAAAACUUAACUCGCAUCUCUCACACUGUGCCUUUUAAAAAAUUCGACACCUCUCCCUUUCAGUGGGAAAGCAUAGUACAGCCUCCUGGGUUAUUAUAUCAAAGUCCUAUUCAUGGUCUUUGAGCCAUUUUUCCCUUCUUGAUUAGACUCCAUUUGCCUUUAUGCUUUGUUAUCUGCCUUUAAACCCAAACAGGUUCUGCCAUCCUGCACACUUUAUUAAUUCUUCUAGUUUUCUCCAAAAAUGUGGCUACAACUCUUCAAAUGAAUGUUUCCAAUUUUUGUCUCGUCCCUCUUGACUUGGAGUCACUGGGAACUAAACCCAACUGUCCAGAAACUUAUAGGAACUUUCUAAAGAAGCCUUGUGACCUGAAGCUGGAUGCAUCCAUGCUCAAGACACAAACGUGACCGUGACACUAUUGUCUGUGCCAUCAACAAAGAUGCUUCAAACUGCAAACCAGGAAGAUCAACGGGUUGCCACUGCCUCCUCACUUCACCAUCUAGAGAUGCUUCAAGUCCAGCAUCUCAGUUGGCUGCCCUCUGGACUUAGAAACUAAGUUUAAUUGCUCUACUCAUUAAUCUCUGUUUUUCUUUUCUCUCUUUUUUUUAAUAGAAAUCACCCCUCGUUUAAAUGUUUGAUGGUUCGUUCACACCAUCCAGAAAAUACCCUUUACUGCCAAGUCUCAACAGAUGGUUCCACUGGUCACUAAUGAACAAAAAAUGAUCAUUUGAUAAAUGAACUGCUGAAAAAAGUUUGCUAUGACCAGUGCGUUCUCUUGGCAGA